UUACAAGAGCUUUGGCAUAGCUAUUUUUUUCCCCAUUCCUUUCUAUAGUAUGAGUAAGUUCUUUUGCUUUUGCAGCAGCGAACAAACUACCAGCCAUUCAGCGUUUACUGUGUCACGCCUCUAUACCAGGAGCAUGUGUCAUCCCAUUUCGUAGCCAGAACAACUUGGCGAAACAGGGACCGUUAGUUCUUUUUUAUAGAUGAGGAAACUGAGGCUUAGAGAGGUUAAUAUACUGUUACUGCACAAGUGCAGGGAGCCACAGUUCUGCUUUGGGGCUCUUUUCCCAUCAUCCUCUGCUGCCUGGCUCAGGGCCUCACCCUGAUUUUGUGCUGCUGGUUUUCUGACCUACUCGGUGCAGUGCCAGCUCUCCUCACAUAGCUUCCUUCCUAUUACUGGGGUCCCAGAAUUCCUGGGGGUCCCAGAAUCACACAGCAGCAAUAAUUAACAAAAACUACAAUGUCCCAUUGUGCUGGCUUUUAUGUCUAAGCUACUUGUAAGCAGAUAGGUUUGACUUUUAAGACUUUCUUUUGGGGAGUUUCCAUCGUGGCUCAGCGGUUAAUGAACCCGACUAGCAUCCAUGAGGAUGCGGGUUUGAUCCCUGGCCUCUCUCAGUGGGUUAAGGGUCCGGUGUUGCCAUGAGCUAGGAUGUAGGUUGCAGACGCAGCUCGGAUCUGGUGUUGCUGUGGCUGUGGUGUAAGCUGGUGGCUGUGGCUCCGAUUUGACCCCUAGACUGGGAACCUCCAUAUGCCACAGGACUAAAUGACAGGUGCAGGUGCCAUGCUCCAAGGGCCUGGACUGCAAGUCACAGAUGAGGUUCCAGCUUCAUCAUGCUGGUGACUGCCCAGCAGUGGUACAUAAAUCUCCUCCCCUCCCUGCAUAGCUGCAUUUCCUCAGCGCAACCCCAGGGCUCAGGUGCUCCCUAACCAUCCUUCCUGCCACUGUCUGAGCUCCUAUGAUGGAGCAGAGUUGUGGAAUGUACUGGGAGGGAUGCAGGCUUUGGUUUAGGAAGCCCUGAGCAUGAAUCCCAGCUCCUGGACCUCCCAGCUCUGUGACCUCAUCUGCUAACCUCUCUGAUACUCAUUGUCCAUGUCUAUGAAGAGGGCAAGGAUGACAGGAGCCCAUGUGGACAAGGUCUGUUUCCUUCCCUCGGUCUCUGACUCCUGAGUGCUUUGACUGGGGAUUUGCAGGUGUUUCUGAGGCAGAAACCCAAAGCGCCUUCCCUAAGUGUGGCGUUCAUCACACCUGCAUCACCCUGAGAUAUUCAACUCUCAGAUUUUUGGAAGCUCCUUUAUGUGGUUGAGAAACUCCUCAAAGGCAGAGUCCAGCCCCUUAAGCUCUGCUGGUGCUUCCGUGAUGGCACCUUCCAUUCUUGCCCCGUCCCUCCUGCAGACAGCAGCUGCAGUGUGAGUCAGUUGCUUAUAUAUAAUUUCUUUUGCAUCUCUCUGCAGAGAAUUCCAUUCAUUUAACCAGUAUUUGCCUCACAUGAGGAAAUGGGAUGCAGAGAAGAAUCAAUUCACAGCCACUGCCCUUAAGAGCUCCUGGGGGAAAAGUGCAAAUAGAUAGUGUGACACAAGGACUGUGCUAUCAGCCUGGAAUGUCCCAGGGUGCCAUGGGAGAAGAGGACUGAGUAGCUCUCUCCUGGGGACCCAGCAGGCAUGAGGUGCCUCUGAACAAAUCUUUUUUUUUUUUUGUCUUUCUGCCUUUUCUAGGGCCUCACCCAUGGCAUAUGGAGGUUCCCAGGCUAGGGGUCUAAUCAGAGCUGUAGCCACCAGCCUACGCUAGAGCCACAGCAACGUGGGAUCCAAGCCGCGUCUGCAACCUACACCACAGCUCACGGCAACGCUGGAUUCUUAACCCACUGAGCAAGGCCAGGGAUCAAACCUGCAACCUCAUGGUUCCUAGUCGGAUUCGUUAACCACUGCACCACGACGGGAACUCCUGAACAAAUCUUAAGAGGUGAGGAGGAGUCCACACUGCAGAAGUCCAGGCAGAGGGGCAGGACAGAGGGAACUUCAGGGUGGAGGCCAGAGCCCUAAGAGGAGGUGACACUGGCUGCCUGCCUGGAGCCGGAACCAAGGGGUGGAGGACCCGCAUUGCCACGUCCUGGUAGUCACCUGCACACUGAUGACCUGAGACCUCUCUCCCAGACCCCCAACUCACAUACCCAUCGCCCACUCCGCAUCCAUCUUUCAGGUGUAAUGGGCAUCCCAGACUCAGCGUAACUAGAAGUCUUAGGCAAACCCUGCCUAGCCCUGCCUAACUCUGUCCCUCCCCAGGCAUGAGGUGACUUUCCCCCACGUUAUGUGGCCCCACCAUUUACCUGGUUACACAGGCCCAAAAUGCAUCACCUUUGACUCUCUUCUUCCCUCGCUCCUCACCUUGUCUGUUUGCAACCUUGACAGCUGUUCCAUCACAGCAUAUCUCGAAAGCCACCACAGGUCCAGAGGUCCCCCAUCUCUCAGCAGGCCUCCCUGCUUCCACUCUGGCCCUGCUGCUAGCACCCUUCCCCACAGUUGGGCAGAAUGACCUUUUAAAAAGUAAAUAAGAUCAUGUCACUGUUCUGCUCAAAUACUCUGGUGGCUUCCUAGCAUCCUGGGAAUAGAAUCUGAACUCCCUGCCCCAUCCUGCCAGCCCCUCCUACUUCUCUGGGCUCACCUCUCAGCACUCUCCUCUUUGCUCACGCCAUUCCAGCCCCCUUUGCUUUCUUGCUCUUCCUCACCUCAGGGCAUUUGCACUUGCUGUUCUCUGCCUGGAUUCCUCUUCCCCAACAUCUCUGCCUGGCAGCCUUCACUCCAUUCCGGUCUGUGUUCACGUCAUCAUUCCUCUAUUUAAAAAGCACUGUCCGACCCGUCCCUUUACCCCAUCACAUUGUCCUCUUACUCUGAUUUAUUUUUCUUUAUUAGCACCUGACUUUAUAUUGUGAACUUACUUGUCUUCUUUAUCAAUUGUCUUACCCUACUAGACUGUACGUCCUUGAGGAGGGGCCCCUGUCUUAUCAGUCUCAUUCACCCCUCUCUCUCCAGGAUCUAAAACAAGGCCUGGCACCCAGUAGGUGAUCAUCACACAUUAAACUGGUGAUGAAAAAAAAAAAUAAGUGAAUGAAUGCAAGUUAAGACUUUGGUGUUGAUUCUGUGGGCAGUGCCAAUCUAGUAGACAUCUUUUAGGAGGUGAGUGACGUGGUCAGCACUUUUAUUUUAGAAAGCCAGCUGGUGGCAGUGUGGAGGCUGGACUUGUAGGAGGAGGCAGCAGAACUAGUUAGAGGCAGUGAAAAUGGUCCAGGAAAUUGAUGCCGAGCCUUAUGUAGAGCUGUGGGGUUGGAGAAGAGGGGCCCAAUGGCAGGCUGCGAAGACCUUUGAGCAUCUUUGGUUGCUAUUGGAACAACUUGAGAUAGCAAUUCUUUUAAAAGAAAAACAGGAGGGGAUGAGCUGGUAUGGGGAGAGACUGGUGACACCCCAUGAUGUUUUCCUCCCCAAGCAAAUGUCAGCCCCCGGAUGCAUGUCCCCUGCAGUGCGUUUAUUUCUCUGAGGUGUGACUCUGCUGCUCCUAGACUCCCAGUUCAGUCUUUCGGUAAGAAAGGAGUCAAGAUGGUAUCAGUGUGUCUGAUUCUUCAUCCUGUAGGUGGGUCCCUGAUCUUACACACCACAAGCCACACUAAGUCACUGAUUCCUCCUUACAAUGGGUACCUUUCUUCAUAUUUAACUCCAAAGGAGACUCACUCUGACAAAUUCUGCUUUCUCCUUUUUUUUUUUUUCCCCCUAAAGAAUGGCUAGGCUCUGCUCAAAUCUCAGAUGGGGUUUACUGAUAAGCUGGGGGUCCAGCAUCUCCCUUAUCACAAGCAUGCACAGGAGCCCUUGUCCUCGCUUGGGUGUCCCCAGCUUCCUAGCCCAGGCAUAGCCAUGUGGUCUGGCACUGCUUCUUGAGAACUUUCUUCUAAAGCUUGAAUCACUCCUUUCUCCCCGGCUCCCCAACCCUCCCCAAGUUUUGAUGCAAAGCCUUUCAUCUCUGAGCAAACACUUUCUUACCCAUCUUGCUGGGGUGUGCCCUUUCUGUCCCUAAGGGAGAGUAGGCCAUCCCAGGCUCUGAAGCCUUGGUCCAAAGUUCCUAAUCCCAUUUGCUGAGCCCUGUGAGGUGCAAAGCUGCACCAGCUGUAUAGCCAGAUGUCCACCUCCCACGGUUCCCUCUCUCCUCCAAAGGUCCAGGCGUCAUGGGAGUGACAUCAAUAGCUACCCUGUAGGGCUUCCUGUGUGCCGGGUACUGGGUUAAGCCCUUCACAUGCAUUGCGUCUAAUCCUCCCCACCCUGCAGGGAUGGUAUUAUGAUCCUGUUCACAGAUGAGGGAGCCGAGGCACUGAAGUGAAGCUUAGGAGUUAAGAGCCUGGGCUGAGAGUCAAGUGGACCCAGGUUUGAAUCCCACCUAGCUGUGGGCCUUACUCUUGUGAAUUAAGAUGCUACUUAAUCCUCUUUUUCUAGAUCUAGAAAAUGGAGAUAACAUAGAGGGUGUUCAUAGGGUUGCUGCAAAAAUUAAAUGAAAUAAAAUGUUAUUUUAUAAGUAUGUAAGUACUUGUUUAGUAAAUACUAGAUUUUGUGCUGUCAGUAAAUGAUAGCUCAUUGUAGAUACUGUUUCUUUUCUUUUUUUGUCUUUUGCAUUUUUUAGGGCUGCAUCUGCUGCACAGGGAGGUUCCCAGGCUAGGGGUCCACUUGGAGCUGUAGUUGCCGGCCUAUACCACAGCCACAGCAAUGCCAGAUCCAAACUGCAUCUGCAGCGUAUACCACAGCUCACGGCCACACUGGGUCCUUAACCCAUGGAGUGAGGCCAGGGAUCGAACCUGCUUCCUCAUGGACCCUAGUCAGAUUCCUUUCCACCGAGCCAUGAUGGGAGCUCCUCAUUGUAGAUACUGUUCAUCAUUAGCACCAUCCUCAGCAGCAUUAUCCCCAUCCUGAGGCUCUAUGACUCCUAAGUAGAUAGAGCCAGGAUUUGAACCUAGCCCUGCCUGGCUCCAAAGCCCACAUUCUUCCUCCUGCCUGGAUGCUCUCCAAUUCAUCUUGCCUAAGACUUUCUGGUCCCUAAGUUUGCCUUCUUGGUCUUUUCUGGGUGUGCCAUUUGUUCCCAUCUGGGCAGUGGGCUCAAGCUAAGGUUCAGCGAUUCCUUGGUCUCUUCCAGCCAAUGACCUCUUUACAGUCAUUGACUGAGCAGUCCCCAGUGACUGGGCUGUUUUGGCAAGAGCUUGACAGUUUUCCCUGAUUGCCAAUGUCAUCUUGCCUACUGUGACAGCCAGGAGGUGUGUGGGGGGGUGCUUCCUGUUGUCUAUAUCAGCAGGAUUAUCCAAAGAAAACAGGAGUGCACCGGAAAGGGCUGGUGUGUGUCCCUGUCUUGUGGGGGACUCACUUUGUGAAUGUGGUGACAUUUAUGGAGUCUUUCUCCAGGAAAAUGCACAUG
Molecule: long non-coding RNA, 5436 nt
Filed under: Sus scrofa (pig)
Lineage: Eukaryota; Metazoa; Chordata; Mammalia; Artiodactyla; Suidae
Description: lncRNA (ENSSSCG00065028409.1)
Source: RNAcentral